CGAGCGCAACCCUUGCCUUUAGUUGCCAGCAGUUCGGCUGGGCGACUCUAAAGGGACUGCCGGUGUUAAACCGGAGGAAGGUGGGGAUGACGUCAAGUCCUCAUGGCCUUUAUGACCAGGGCUACACACGUACUACAAUGGCCGAUACAAAGGGCAGCGACACUGCGAGGUGAAGCCAAUCCCGUAAAAUCGGUCUCAGUCCGGAUUGGAGUCUGCAACUCGACUCCAUGAAGUUGGAAUCGCUAGUAAUCGUGGAUCAGCAUGCCACGGUGAAUACGUUCCCGGGCCUU
This 290-nucleotide ribosomal RNA is filed under the name uncultured Desulfobulbus sp. RNAcentral's name for it is "partial 16S ribosomal RNA". It matches the Rfam family "Bacterial small subunit ribosomal RNA", at positions 1093 to 1382 of the family's 1533-position model. The record is from RNAcentral. Lineage: Bacteria; Pseudomonadati; Thermodesulfobacteriota; Desulfobulbia; Desulfobulbales; Desulfobulbaceae.